Long non-coding RNA from Haliotis rubra (blacklip abalone), 2922 nucleotides. RefSeq lists it as uncharacterized. The transcript has 4 exons. The record is from RefSeq and is a predicted model, not a curated record. NCBI's taxonomy places the organism in Eukaryota, Metazoa, Mollusca, Gastropoda, Lepetellida, Haliotidae.
UCGAGGUACAAAUUUCGAUCAUGUCUAUGCAAUGACGUUCUCCAUAUUCGAUUCUGUUCCAUUUGCAGAUAGAAGCAAACCUGAAAACAGCUAUCUAUUGAUUUCAGAUUUUUAGAGAAAUCAUAUGAACAAAUGCCCUAUUGCUUUUAUCUAUUGACUUUCACACAUUCGUUCAUUAUUCUUUCCGCCAUGAUUCUCAUUUUCCACACAUAUGCUCCAUGUCAUAUCUCAUUUAUGCUCAGUGUGAAAUCAACUAACGCUUACACUGUUGAUCUCGAAAUAACAUGUCUUAAAUGAAGUGUGCAGUUUGAGUCGCACUGCCCUUAUGCAAAUCAACUGUUUAUCUGUGAUGACAGUCUUUGUUUAACUGAGUUAGGAUCACCUGAUGAACCAACACGAUUCAAAGUCAUUGACAACGAGACACAUCGUCUGUGUGGUUGACAUGGACGCCUGGGUUCGAUGGCGGCUACCCCCAGGAGUUUGUAAUGGAAUACCGAAAAUUUGGCUCUUCCACAUGGAAUGUAUUUGGUUACUUCGGAGAUACUGGUAACAUGUUUGUGUUGGAAGUGAACAGUUUGGCACCUGGAGAGACAUACACCUUCCGGCUGCAUGCUCGGAAUGCAAAGUACGAGGCAUCAACCACAGCAUUUGUCUUCCUGGAAGCAAGGACCCAUCUCAGGUACCUGAUAUGUUUAUGCUUCAGAACAUGCAUGUUCAUACACAUUCAACACAAUUUGUGACAACAACUUUUCAGGCCACUGAUUUCCACGUGUACAUGUAUGUGAGAAAACACAGUAAGACAAAUGCAUCUUUAGUGGCUACCCUCGCAAUGUUAAUUUCUGUACCAUUGUAUUGGUUACUUAAUGUUAUGUUCCAGUUCUCUUGUGUUCUGAGUGCUCACACGCAUGGUUUUUUGUUUAUAGCUGAAUCUGUGAUCGGAACUGCUCUUCUCAUCCUACUGGUUGAAGGGCUACUAUAUGCCUGUUUUCUCAGACAAGAAUAUAGAUAUGUAUGUAUGGAAAGGUACAAUUCAUCAUCACACUGGCACAUAUGCGACAAAUGUAUUUAUCAUAUAAAUGAAUCAUUGUUAAUUGAUAAUUUCAUCGUGCUGUUGAGAGACUGACAAUUAAAUAUUAUGGAGGGAUAGUGUGAAGUUUUGAAAUGCACUAUGUUUGGCGGAAAAUACACCUGUUUUGUUAAACUGAAUUAACCAAGAACAAACAUGAAUAUAUGCCUUUCCAUUAUUUCACAAAAUCGUCUCCGGGAGAAAGGUGAUGUUUAAAAUGUAUCAGUCUCUUUGCUUAGUUUAAUACACGUACAUAACUUAUUCAACGUAUUCAAACUGAAGGUUUUUAGACACAUUCGCACAACACCCAACUGUGAAUGAAUAUGAGCUCAAAGUGUUACUUCCUUCUAGUGAUGGAGCCCAAUAAAUGAAGUAGACAAUGUUGGAUACUCAUCUGUAGGUAAGUAUUUUAAGUGAAUAGAACUUUCACUAGGAUUUUGACCUGGGUGUGAUAUGGAUUCAUGUAUAACGUACAUUGGUACUGAACGUCUUUGGCGAGGAUAAAGACCCUUUAUUUGUAUAUUCCGGGAGCAUACCAUAUUGGUUUAUGCAUCGAUAACAAACACGAUAAUGCAUGAUCAUCAAGUAAUUGUUUACUAUUGUUCUUUUGCAUCAAAAUCGGACCGAUGAACUGCAAUCUAACUCGAAAACUAAUAAACAUAUAAUGCUCAAUAAAACGGUGAUCAUAAUCAAAACAUCAGACCAACUCUGUGAGUUUUUUUGCAGAAUUUAUGUCCUAAAAAUAAGAAAAGCUGUUUAACAAAUCAUCAUUAAAGUAUUUACACGUCCACUUUUUGUUACGAGGGAGGAGUGCAAAUAGAGGAACAGCCAGGUGUGGGACAAAGGAUGGAGAAGGCACAGCUCCGAUCCGAUGUACGGAGAUACGUGUACCUGAUGGCCCAGAAACGACACGCACAUACGCACACACACUCGCACGCACACGUACAAGCACACUCGCUCGCACGCACAUAUGCACUCAAACGAAAAACAUCAUCACACAUACACACAAACACACUCAAACACGCAUACGCAGAAGCACACACGCACUUUCAAUAUGUAAUUUCUAUUAGCAAUACCUCCAGUUAUUCACAUUUUUUUGCAUAAAAUGUAUCUCUUGCACGCGUUAUCGUCUUUGUUGAUAGUGUUUUCACAAUAUAAAAUCAAUGUACACAACACUGUUUAUUGGUUUUGUGAGUUAUAUUGCACAUCUAGCAGGAAAGCUAUUUAACAAAUAUCAUAACUUGUGAUAUUCAUUUGUUGUUUACCGACGAUUGCAGUAGUAAUUCAGCUGUAUGAUCCCGGCCGAUGAAUAGUCGACUAAAGGACAGACAAACCAGACUGGCUACAGAUCAAGAUGACCCAGUGACCAAGCCGGACUGUCAAUCUACCGUGCAGACUGACAUACGUUUCCAAAGCAUUAGGUCAACUGCAGCAAAAUAUUAGUGAACGUAGUGAAUGUGAGUGUACUAGGGAUGGGUGAUCGCAGAAUCCUUGUACUUGAGGGGGACAUUACACCACCUGUCGAUAAGACCGACUCUACCUGAACGCUAUCUAGGCUAUCUAGGAUCUACAGGGAUCUAUGUUACUGCACUCCACUAUCCAUGACAGCCAGUUACCGAGUGGACAACGAAAGAUCGAUGCCCUGUGGUCUAAAUGUAAUGUUCACUCACAUUGUAGUGUCGACUGAUAGUCGACGGAUGACAAGCUCGUUUGAAGGAUGAAUAAGAAGAUUUGUGACAGUGGGACUAAGAUCUGUUGUAAUUCAACGUGUUGCUGUCGCUAGGUUACAGAGCCAGUGUGAUAGUAAUGUGAGUUGCUGUAUGUGCAGACAUUCGAUUAUGUAUAUUGCUCUGAAG